This 1021-nucleotide long non-coding RNA is filed under the name Malus domestica (apple). Its description in RNAcentral is "long non-coding RNA (MDOM_LNC011403)". Lineage: Eukaryota; Viridiplantae; Streptophyta; Magnoliopsida; Rosales; Rosaceae. The record is from RNAcentral.
GGGUCAUGAUCAAGGGCUGCUAGGUUAACCAAGGGACCAACACAUGGUAGGAUGGUUGGAAAAAUUGAGAUUGUGAGAUCAUGUCUCAUAAAUACGCAUGGUGGUAGUUCUCGAGAGGGUUCAAUGUUUAUUUUAGGUCAGUUUUGCUUCUUCAAGGUUGAGGCUCGAACCAAGGAAUGUAGGUCGACAACUUUAAAAGCAAGGGGGCAAUGUUUGGGCCCAAAAUAUUGGUUUGGGUUAAGUUUAGAAUUGUUCUCGGCCUGGAAGUGUUGCUCAGCGGCCUACCGUAUCCUAUCAGGAUAGGGUAGUUGAAUCCUGAUACAAUAAAGAGUCUCGGCAGGAUGAGGAUGCUGAAACUUGAGAAUGAAUGCGGCCUGAUAAAGGGUUGAGUUCAAAGUCCUAAUAGGAGUAGGACUGGCCAAGAUAAGAUUGGAUCGGGGUAAGGAGUCCUAACCCGAGUGUAGUUUUGAUUCGAUUAGAAGCAAGUUUGCUACUAUAAAUAGAGGGAGGAGUACAUCAUUCAAACCGCCCCCCAAUUCAACACAUAAGUUGCCCUGCACAAACUCUCUCAACAAUCCUGAGAUUUUUAUUUUCUUUUUCUGCCAACACAUCUUCAGUUUGGAUAAGCAGCACUGUGAAGGCAACUAGUGAUACCUUUAGUUUGGAUAAGCAGCACUAUCGCCGUAGAACGAGCUGACCAUGGAACACUUUCAGUUUGGAUAAACAGUACUGCAUCGAGGCCGACUGGUUAUUUAUCCAAGUCUCGGUCGAGAAAGACUUUCGAGUCUUUAUUGGCAUAUGUCAUCUCAUUAGCCUUUUUAGCAAAGUGAGGUGUUAUAGUUUACUAGGGCUCGACACAUUGAAUGCCAAGUUGUUUUAAUAUUGGAUACUCGUAAGUAAGCUUUAGAGUUCGGCAAUAUAACAGUCGAACCGCAUUUACCAUCAAGACAUAUAUCUGUUUUGAGUAUCUGUGCCCCUAUACUCUGGUGUCAAUUUGGUGUGCUUAUACCCUUACAAAUAU